This is a non-coding RNA of Acanthosepion pharaonis, 113 nucleotides long. The record is from the annotation of a GenBank genome assembly. Lineage: Eukaryota; Metazoa; Mollusca; Cephalopoda; Sepiida; Sepiidae.
UACAGUCACAGCACGUUGUGACACCAGUUCCCGUACGAUCACCGAAGUUAAGCAAUGUCGAACUUGGUCAUUACCUAGAUGGGUGACCGUUCGAGAAUACCAGGUUCUGUAAG